This 456-nucleotide ribosomal RNA is filed under the name uncultured organism. RNAcentral's name for it is "partial 16S ribosomal RNA". It matches the Rfam family "Bacterial small subunit ribosomal RNA", at positions 331 to 796 of the family's 1533-position model. The record is from RNAcentral.
GUACACUCCUGCGGGAGGCAGCAGUGGGGAAUAUUGCACAAUGGGCGCAAGCCUGAUGCAGCGACGCCGCGUGGGGGAUGAAGGCCUUCGGGUUGUAAACUCCUUUCGCUAGGGACGAAGCUUUUUUGUGACGGUACCUAGAUAAGAAGCACCGGCUAACUACGUGCCAGCAGCCGCGGUAAUACGUAGGGUGCGAGCGUUGUCCGGAAUUACUGGGCGUAAAGGGCUCGUAGGUGGUUUGUCGCGUCGUCUGUGAAAUUCUGGGGCUUAACUCCGGGCGUGCAGGCGAUACGGGCAUAACUUGAGUGCUGUAGGGGUAACUGGAAUUCCUGGUGUAGCGGUGAAAUGCGCAGAUAUCAGGAGGAACACCGAUGGCGAAGGCAGGUUACUGGGCAGUUACUGACGCUGAGGAGCGAAAGCAUGGGUAGCGAACAGGAUUAGAAACCCCGGUAGUCC